Pogoniulus pusillus (Red-fronted tinkerbird) is the source of this 2308-nucleotide RNA transcript. It is a transcript of the gene named tyrosylprotein sulfotransferase 1, with no coding region annotated. Lineage: Eukaryota; Metazoa; Chordata; Aves; Piciformes; Lybiidae. The record is from RefSeq and is a predicted model, not a curated record. The transcript is spliced from 7 exons.
GAUGCGGUGGGGCGGAGCGGGGCGCGGCCGUUCCCUUCAUCCUUCUGGCUGCCUGUGGUGCCCCGCCGGCAGCUGCCGUGCCCCUCUCCGCCCUGCCCUGCCGCGCCCCGCCCUCGGGUGGCUCCGGUCCUGCUAGAGCUGUUGCCUUUGUCGGCGAGGUCUAGGGUCGGCCGCGGCCUGAGGCGGCGGUUGGGAGCAGGUCCGCGUUGCCCUUUAGGCGUUGAUAACGGCCGGGAGCGCUGUACAGUACCGCGCUGGCCGGGGCACUCCGCUUUGCGGCCAUCGCCGCGGGUCCCGGAGCCACAGCCGGGAACACCCGAGGAUGCGCGGCACUGCCAGCUCUCUGCUUCCCGUUGGUGCCGUGACGGUGUGCGAGGCGGAUCCCAGCCGGGUAAAUGGGAAAGUUUCCGUCCGGGAGAGCUAACCCGGGUUUCCCAUGGCACUAGAAGAUCACUUGAAAUAGAAGGCCUCUAUAUUUUGAAGUGACAAUCGUAAUCAAGAUGGUUGGAAAACUGAAGCAGAACUUGCUGUUGGCAUGCCUGGUGAUCAGCUCAGUGACAGUGUUUUAUCUGGGCCAGCACGCUAUGGAGUGCCACCACCGCAUAGAGGAGCGCAGCCAGCCCGCCAGGGUGGAAAGCCUGAGGAGCACAGUAAGAACUGCCCCCAGUGUGAAUGCCAACAAAAGCUUUGCUUACAACAAAGACAUGCCUUUAAUAUUUAUUGGAGGGGUACCUCGAAGUGGCACCACCUUAAUGCGUGCCAUGCUGGAUGCCCACCCGGACAUUCGGUGUGGAGAAGAGACCAGGGUGAUCCCGCGGAUCCUGGCGGUCAAGCAGAUGUGGGCUAGGUCAAGCAAAGAGAAGAUCCGACUGGAUGAAGCUGGGGUCACAGAUGAGGUGCUGGACUCAGCCAUGCAGGCCUUUUUACUGGAAAUCAUUGUCAAACACGGGGAGCCUGCUCCCUAUUUGUGUAACAAAGACCCUUUUGCUUUAAAAUCCUUAACUUAUCUGGCUAGAAUUUUCCCCAAUGCCAAAUUUCUUCUAAUGGUUCGGGAUGGACGUGCAUCUGUGCAUUCCAUGAUCUCUAGAAAAGUGACAAUAGCUGGAUUUGACCUUAACAGCUACAGGGACUGCUUGACCAAGUGGAAUCGUGCCAUAGAAACUAUGUAUAACCAGUGCAUGGAGGUUGGGUUUGAGAGGUGUAUGCUGGUCCAUUAUGAGCAGCUUGUAUUGCAUCCUGAAAGAUGGAUGAGAACUCUCUUAAAGUUCCUUCACAUCCCAUGGAACCAAGCAGUGCUGCACCAUGAAGAAAUGAUUGGAAAAGCAGGGGGUGUUUCUCUUUCAAAGGUCGAAAGAUCUACUGACCAAGUAAUCAAGCCAGUCAAUGUGGAAGCACUGUCAAAGUGGGUUGGGAAGAUACCUGCUGAUGUGUUGCAGGAUAUGCCUGUGAUUGCACCCAUGCUAGCAAAACUGGGCUACGAUCCAUAUGCCAAUCCACCAAACUAUGGGAAGCCAGAUCAGAAAGUUGUGGAAAACACAAGGAGGGUGUUUAAAGGUGAAUUUCAGCUUCCUGACUUUCUUAAAGAAGUGCCACAGCCAAAGAAGACAGUAGAAAGGAAGUUUCGUGGCAAGAUAAAGUGAACAUGGAUCAGUAAAGUCCAAUAGCUACUGAGCCUAUGGAAUAGAAGAUCCAACAGAUACUUCUUGCACAGAAGGAAAAAAAAAAGACUGCUGCCUUUUCAGUGGAAACAACCUUACAAGGACUUGACCCACCAAGAUCAGGGAGGUUACUGCCCAUGGCCUGCUUUGUUCAGGAUUUUCUCCCCCAUUUCUUUCACGGUUUUAAUUCAAAACUUUUGCUGUUGUGACCGCAUGAGGCCUGUUGAGGAGGGAAAAAAAAAGAAACACCAAACAGCUGUCUGAUGUUAAUGUAGAACUGUGUUAUAUUUGCACAACUACUUGGGUUUGUUUUAAAGCAGUGUCUGUCUCCAGAAUCGCUCUUCUGUCUUUAAUUUGCAAAAACUCCCUCUUCAAAGGUUUUCUUUCUUUCUUUGUUUGUUUUCCUAUAGCAGUUUGGUUUCAAAUGCCUGAAGCUUUCAAAAGAGUGAUCCGUGCUUGUCCUAAGAGAUCCUUUUUUUUUUUUGGUGGAACAGUUGCUUGGUUUAUGGACAUGUGGAAAUGGUUAAAUAUCUUUUUAUUUAAAAGAAAAAGAAAGGGGAGGGGGAAAAAAAGCUGAGAAAUUACAUGUACAAUUAGGAGCCAACGAUUAUUUUGUAUUUUAUUUUUCAAAAUAAAUGCUUUAAAUGUGA